RNAcentral lists this ribosomal RNA (402 nucleotides) under Bacteroidota bacterium. RNAcentral's name for it is "Bacteroidetes bacterium partial 16S ribosomal RNA". It matches the Rfam family "Bacterial small subunit ribosomal RNA", at positions 355 to 776 of the family's 1533-position model. Lineage: Bacteria; Pseudomonadati; Bacteroidota. The record is from RNAcentral. RNAcentral also lists the same sequence under 1 other name.
UGGGGAAUUUUGCACAAUGGGGGAAACCCUGAUGCAGCGACGCCGCGUGAUUUAGAAGGCCUUCGGGUUGUAAAAAUCUUUUUUAUGGGAUGAAAAUGACAGUACCAUAAGAAUAAGGUCCGGCUAAAUACGUGCCAGCAGCCGCGGUAAUACGUAUGGACCGAGCGUUGUCCGGAAUCAUUGGGCGUAAAGGGUACGUAGGCGGCCCAGUAAGUUAGAAGUGAAAUAAUAUAGCUCAACUAUAUAAAGCUUUUAAAACUGCUAGGCUUGAGGGAUGGAAGGGAAAGUGGAAUUCCUAGUGUAGCGGUGAAAUGCGCAGAUAUUAGGAAGAAUACCGGUGGCGAAGGCGACUUUCUGGUCAUCAUCUGACGCUGAGGUACGAAAGCGUGGGUAGCAAACAGG